CUACGUGAGGUUGACUAUAGAUCCGGUGAAGGCACGCUCUAGUCUAGUCUUGAAUCCACAAGGAGUUUAAGAACAUGGACCCGACUCGGAGAUCUGAAGAAGGUACUCACUCACCAUUUUCCUCUGGAUUUUAGGGUUUUUUUAGAUUUUCCCCAAAUUUUUUGACCCUAGAAUCCCCAAAUUUCCGAAGAGUAAACAACGGAGCGUGCAGAUCGACGUGGGGUCGCCGUCGUCUUCUUCUCCGAGCUUCGGAGAGGUUUGCAUCUCCAAGACGGUUUCGGCCGAGGUGAAGCGCUUCGAAUUGGUAUGUGACUGUGUUGCUUUAGCUUGAAUUUUUGAGUUUUGUGUUGAGAAUUAGUGGAUUUGCUUAUUUCUGUUAUUUGGGUUUUGUGGGAUUUAGUCUUUGAUUUUGGUUUUGGUUGGAUGUUUGUGCUUAGGGUCGGCUUGGUUUUGUGAAAUUGAGUGAUAAAAAUUCGAAUUUGGUUUGUGAAUCUGAUGGGGUUGGAUUAGAGUCAACUGAAUUGCUUCUAGUAUUGAGAUUUUUUUUGUACCCUAUUUGUUUUGGAUUUCAUGGUUGUUCUUCCUGGUGAUUUCGAAGUGUAAAGUUUUAAUCUAGUCUUUAAGCUCUUGAGUUUUGAGGGAGCUCAAUGGGCUGAUUGAAUCUCUGGUCCGUCAACUUGAAUUGAGAGAGAGUUGUAAGCUGAAAACUUCUGCUGGAAAUCAUUCCCGUCAGUCAACUUCAACAGCUCAAAAGUUCCACUUCUAUGAUUUAUUCCAGAACAGCUUCUUCACAAAAGUUAUUCAAAAUCAUGUCUUCUAUUUGUGAUCGAAAAUCGUAGCAAUCCAACGGUUGUAUUGUUCUCAAUCAAGGUAAAUCUGCAUACUGCUCAAGAACACAAUUCUGUUUUGAUAGUCUACAAGACCACCUACAUUGCCUAGACCACCUACCCUAGAUUUUAUGAUACCCAGAAAGACCUGACAAGUUCUGAUUAUGUGCUGGUGAUUUUAAUGUGUGAAAUUUAAAAUCCUAUCUUUCAAUUUACUUGUUUGGUUUAUAAUCCUAGGUUGCACUAUUGUCUUUUAAUGAUGUUUUGAGAACUUCACAAUUUGCAGGAACAUAGGGAAAAAAGAAAGAGAGAGAGACUGCUAUGACAAAGUUUACAAUUAGCUUUUGUACAAGACUACAAGGUAUGCAAUUUUCUGAUUACUUAUGGACAAUAUAUGCACUUUGUACAUGGGUUUCCAUAGUCUUAAAUGGGGAUUACAAUAAAGAUUAAGUGAACCUUGUAAUUGAACUAUCAUUUGGCUGUAAGAAUUUAGUAUGACAUGAUUCAAGGUUUCUCAGGAUUUUUUAUUACUUUCAUUUCUCUGUUACCUUCUCUUUUGUCUCAAAUUGUCUCUGUAUUUUUAGAUGAGAAUCAUGGUUAACAGAAGUGUACAGAACCCUUUAGUGCUUUCCUCUGCCUUUUUAGUAAUUGUAACAUGGUAUAUCAUCCAAAUAAAAUUAGCCGGUUGUUGUCAUUCAAUACCAGAAACACAAACUAGUUUUGUUAGUAUGUGUCUAAUAUAUAAGUUCAUCUGUCCAAACUAAUGUUCUCUCUUUCGCAUGUAUUUGCAUAUACACUGUUUCUCCAGCAAAUUAAUGUCUAAUGCUCUCUUUCUUUGAUGUUUUGGGGGGUUCUCCUUUUGGUUUCGAAG
RNAcentral lists this long non-coding RNA (1698 nucleotides) under Fragaria vesca (wild strawberry). RNAcentral describes it as "long non-coding RNA (FVES_LNC000302)". The record is from RNAcentral. Lineage: Eukaryota; Viridiplantae; Streptophyta; Magnoliopsida; Rosales; Rosaceae.